RNAcentral lists this unclassified non-coding RNA (359 nucleotides) under Hevea brasiliensis (rubber tree). The record is from RNAcentral. Lineage: Eukaryota; Viridiplantae; Streptophyta; Magnoliopsida; Malpighiales; Euphorbiaceae.
GCGAAUGCUGAAUUAUCGAUUCCAAAAUAACAUAGACAACCCAUCCCAUAACCGCUCUGGACAUCAUCUAAAACCAAAAUUGGCAAAAAAAUAAAUUAGGAUCUCCCAAACUAUUAUAGCCAUGCAUGGCUUAGAUUCCAACCGAAGAUCGAAUAAUAGUCUCAAAGCUAUUGACAUCUUCUGGAGCUUCAAGGUUUUGAGCAGUUGAAACUAACCCCUAACCAAAUAAAAGCAGGAACUCUCUCAAAGCAUCACAAAUCUGGCGGAAGAAGGAGAUGGCAGGGCUCUCAAUGAUUCAUUCACGCCUCACAACGGAGGCAGGAAAGGAACUUAAAGUCAGAUCAGAGAAAGAGACUUCU